This is a long non-coding RNA of Brassica oleracea var. oleracea, 726 nucleotides long. RefSeq lists it as uncharacterized. The record is from RefSeq and is a predicted model, not a curated record. NCBI's taxonomy places the organism in Eukaryota, Viridiplantae, Streptophyta, Magnoliopsida, Brassicales, Brassicaceae. The transcript is spliced from 4 exons.
AUGCCAUAGAGGAGACUUGCUGAUGUUUCUUUCCCAUAAAACGGUAAAAACUGAUAUACUUUGGAGUAUGUUUUAUACAAAUGUAAUUUGUUUUCGUAUAUUGCUAAAAAAAAUUAAAAAAUGGAAAAAAGAUGUACGUAGCAAUCUUCUUCUUCAUUCUCCCUACCUUGUGUUUGAGCUUUGAUCUUGUUUCUGAAUGAAUUUGAAAUUGAAAAUUGAAACUGAAAUCGGAUCUGAUCUGUUUGUAAUUUCAGGGUCAGGGCGAGCCUCAUGCGGAAUCUGCGAAGGCCUCGGAGGAUGAUGCUAAGAAAAAUCUCUGGGUUAAGAUAUGUGUUACCGGAUACGACACUUGGCUUCCUGACAUUGAAAUCUGCGAUGCCCUUUGUGAAUAUAGUUAGCUUUACAGUUGAGAAUAAACCAACUAAUCUAACCAAACCACUAAACCGAGAUAACCGAUGGAGGUGAAGACAAGGCGUUGCAACUUAAUGGAAGUGAAUUGAGUGGAUGGAAUCUUGCUGUUAAGGUGGUUUCAACUACAAGACCAUCCACAGAGCUUACUCCCAAGCAAUUGGCUCUUAUAGAAGAAACUUAAGUAUGACAAAACAUUCUGGUAUGGCAUUGGCAUUAUGCGCUAUAAGAUAAUGCAGAGUGAAAGUGAUCUCAAGAGACACGAUUUCUCUUCCUGUGGAGUGAUCACAGAUGUUAUUACUCCCAGAGACUCUCAAG